GGGGGCGUGGCGAAAUUGGUAGACGCACUGGAUUUAGGUUCCAGCGCCGCAAGGUGUAAGAGUUCGAGUCUCUUCGCCCCCCACCA
RNAcentral lists this transfer RNA (86 nucleotides) under Acinetobacter baumannii. RNAcentral's name for it is "tRNA-Leu". It matches the Rfam family "tRNA". From Rfam's summary of the family: Transfer RNA (tRNA) molecules are approximately 80 nucleotides in length. Lineage: Bacteria; Pseudomonadati; Pseudomonadota; Gammaproteobacteria; Moraxellales; Moraxellaceae. The record is from RNAcentral.